This 63-nucleotide non-coding RNA is filed under the name Sulfurisphaera tokodaii str. 7. Its description in RNAcentral is "Sulfolobus tokodaii str. 7 Sulfolobus sRNA133". It matches the Rfam family "Sulfolobus sRNA133". Rfam says of the family: This RNA has structural homologues in 3 archaeon Sulfolobus genomes: tokodaii, acidocalarius and solfotaricus. It shows extensive compensatory base changes, possibly consistent with a functional role. Lineage: Archaea; Thermoproteati; Thermoproteota; Thermoprotei; Sulfolobales; Sulfolobaceae. The record is from Rfam by way of RNAcentral.
AAGGUACUCUCUGAAGCUCCCCGUGUCCUCGAGGGGGGUUAAUUCCGUAGACAGCACGGGGAG